GAAUUCAUUUAUUUCCUAAAGCGAGGCCCCGCAUACCCGCUUAAGGUGGUGACCCGCGCGUUCCUUUACGCUGUUCCCAGGCCCUAAUAAUCCAAAUCCUAUCAUGUUGAACCUGGGAGGCAAACGGCAAGGUGAAAAGUCCUCCACGGUUUCUCUGGCCCGCGUUUCCGAGAGUGAAGGGCCGUUCCUAUUGGAGAUCGCGUCAGCGCUGAAAGUUGGUUGCAACGUCUGCACUCGGGGGCGGGGAAACCGUCUCAUCCUGGGAUCUUCAUAGUUGGCUGUUCUCGAGAGUUCUCGGUGUUUUUACUAGUUGGCCUCCCGCAAGCCUCUGCGCCAACUUGGGAGGAGUUGACCCCUUGCGGCUCUACGAACAGAGGAGUGCGGGGGUGCAGCGAAUGAACACGAUGCCCAGAUCGGAGACAGAAGACGGAAAAGAAAUGUUUCGAUAAUGAAACAAGCAACAUCGUUUAUAUGAGUAUCACAUUGACUCCCCUCUUCUCAGAGAAGUGCGGAUUUCCAUCUUCCAACCUAAAACGAUCCCUGGCUCCCCCCACAUUUGGCGCGCCCUGCAGUUGGUCUCUGCCGCGCCGGGCGACCCUGAGGUCACGUGCUCCUCCUGUCCUUCUGGCGGAACGUGCUUCCUGCUGCGGUGACGUUCGAGCCAUGGCAGCCCUGCUGAGAUCCUCGUGUUGGCUGCUGCGUGCCGGGGCGGCCCCGCGCCUCCCGCUCUCCCUGCGCCUCCUCACUGGCGGCCCGGGCCGGCCGCAUGCCGCCUCCUAUCUGCCUGCCGCUCGCGCCGGGCCCGUGGCCGGAGGACUACUGAGCCCAGCCAGGCUGUAUGUCAUUGCUGCUGAAAAAAAGGAUAUUCAAGAGGAGUCCACUUUUUCUUCUAGAAGGAUUGCCAGUCACUUUGAUUGGGCUCUGAUGAGACUAGAUAAUUCUGUUCGAAGAACUGGCCGCAUUCCAAAGAUGCUUCUACAAAAAGUCUUUGAUGACACCUGCCGCUCAGGUGGCCCAGGUAGUAGUCAUGCCUUGCUCCUACUACGUAGCUGUGGUUCUCUAUUGCCUGAACUAAAGCUUGAAGAGAGAACAGAAUUUGCUCAUAGGAUAUGGGACAAACUUCAGAAAUUAGGUGCUGUGUAUGACGUGAGUCACUAUAAUGCUUUACUUAAAGUCUAUCUUCAAAAUGAAUAUAAAUUCUCACCAACUGAUUUCCUGGCAAAAAUGGAGGAAGCGAACAUUCAACCAAAUCGAGUGACAUACCAGAGAUUGAUUGCUUCUUACUGUAAUAUGGGAGAUAUUGAAGGUGCCAGCAAGAUUCUUGGAUUUAUGAAAACUAAGGAUCUCCCAGUUACAGAGGCAGUAUUCAGUGCCCUUGUGACAGGGCAUGCCAGAGCUGGUGAUAUGGAGAAUGCAGAAAACAUUCUCACAGUGAUGAGAGAGGCUGGAAUUGAGCCUGGUCCAGACACAUACCUCGCAUUAUUGAAUGCAUAUGCUGAGAAGGGCGACAUUGACCAUGUUAAGCAGACUCUGGAGAAGGUGGAGAAGUCCGAGCUUCACCUUAUGGACCGUGAUUUAUUCCAAAUUAUUUUUAGCUUCAGUAAAGCUGGGUAUCCUCAGUAUGUCUCAGAAAUUUUGGAAAAAGUUACAUGUGAAAGAAGAUAUAUUCCAGAUGCAAUGAACCUCGUUUUACUUUUAGUCACUGAAAAAUUGGAAGAUGUAGCUUUGCAAAUUUUACUAUCAUGCCCUGUAUCAAAGGAAGAUGGCAUAAGUGACUUUGGCAGUUUCUUUUUACGACACUGUGUGACUAUGAAUACGCCUGUGGAGAAGCUAACAGACUACUGUAAGAAGUUGAAGGAAAUCCAGAUGCACUCCUUUCCUCUGCAGUUCACCCUCCAUUGUGCUUUACUUGCCAAAAAAACUGAUUUGGCAAAAGCCCUAAUGAAGGCUGUGAAGGAGGAAGGUUUUCCUAUCAGAACUCACUACUUCUGGCCGUUGCUAGUUGGACAUCAGAAGGAAAAAAAUGUUCAAGGUAUAAUUGAAGUCCUGAAAGUAAUGCAAGAAUUGGGAGUACCUCCUGAUCGGGAAACAUAUAUAGGUUACGUGAUUCCAUGCUUCAAUAGUAUAAAGUCAGCACGUGCCAUUUUGCAGGAAAAUGGAUGUCUGUCUAAUAGUGAUACGUUUUCUCAAGCUGAAUUGAGAAGCGAAGCAAUAAAUGGGAACUUAGACUUUGUAUUAUCAUUUUUGGAAUCAAAUACAUUGCCUCUCUCGCUGCAGUCUAUAAGAAGUAGCCUACUGCUAGGCUUUAGGAGGUCUAUGAAUAUAAACCUUUGGAGCAAGAUAACAGAAUUGUUGUACAAGGAUGGACGUUAUUGCCAGGAGCCUCCAGGACCAACGGAAGCUGUUGGCUAUUUUCUUUAUAACUUGAUUGACAGCAUGAGUGACUCAGAGGUACAGGCCAAGGAGGAGCGUUUGAGACAAUACUUCCAUCAGCUGAAGGAGAUGAAUGUAAAAAUUCCUGAAAAUAUCUGCAAAGGCAUUCGUAAUCUACUGGAUAGCUACCAUGUUCCUGAAUUGAUUAAGGAUGCUUAUAUGUUGGUUGACAGUGAGAAUUUAGACUCUCAAAAAACCCUGCGACUUAGGUCAUCUGAAUUGGAGUCUAGACUUGAAACAUUAAAAGCUGAAGAUCAACCUAUAAGAGAUGUCCUAAAGCAACUCAUAGUAGCGCUUUGUUCCCAAGAGAAUAUGCAAAAAGCCCUUGAAUUGAAAGCAAAAUAUGAAUCAGACAUGGUUAUCAGUGGUUAUGCAGCUUUAAUAAAUUUAUGCUGUCGACAUGAUAAUGCAGAAGAUGCCUUGAACUUGAAAGAAGAAUUCGACCGCUUAGAUUCAUCUGCUGUCCUUGACACCAGCAAGUAUGUAGGCCUUGUAAGAGUAUUGGCAAAGCAUGGCAGGCUCCAAGAUGCUAUUAACAUUCUGAAGGAGAUGAAAAAGAAGGAUGUUCCUAUCAGAGAUUCAACAGUCUUGUCCUUUUUCCACAUCCUAAAUGGCGCAGCUUUAAGAGGUGAAAUUGAAACAGUAAAACAGUUGCAUGAAGCCAUCGUGACUCUAGGGUUAGCAAAACCAUCCACCAACAUAAGUUUCCCAUUGGUCACUGUAUACCUGGAAAAGGAUGACCUGUCUACCGCUCUUGAUGUCGCCAUUGACUGCUGUGAAAAGUAUAAAAUAUUACCAAGGAUGCAUGAUAUCUUGUGUAAACUGAUAGAGAAAGGCGAGACUGAUCUAAUUCAGAAAGCAAUGGACUUUGUGAGCCAAGAACAAGGUGAAAUGGUGAUGCUCUAUGAUCUCUUCUUUGCCUUCCUACAAACAGGAAAUUACAAAGAGGCCAAGAAGAUCAUUGAGACUCCAGGGAUUAGAGCUCGAUCUACAAAGCUUCAGUGGUUUUGUGACAAAUGUAUUGCAAAUAAUCAGGUUGAAACUCUGGAAAAAUUAGUGGAGCUGACACAGAAGCUAUUUGAAUGUGAUAGAGACCAGAUGUACUACAAUCUGCUAAAACUGUAUAAAAUGAAUGGUGACUGGCAAAGAGCUGAUGCUGUCUGGAAUAAAAUCCAGGAAGAAAAUAUUAUUCCUCGUGGGAAGACAUUAAGAUUAUUAGCGGAAAUCCUUAGAGAUGGUAACCAGGAAGUUCCAUUUGAGGUACCUGAGUGGUAUGAAGAUGAAAAACAUUCUCUGAAUUCUUCAUUGGAUUCUUCAUCAGACUCAACUACAGAACCUGAUUUCCAGAAAGAUAUAUUGAAUGCCUGCCAAUUGAAGCAAAACAAAGAGGCAUAUGGUAUUUUCCUGAAAGCAAAACAGCAAAACGUUGUAUUUAAUGCUGAAACCUACAGUGAUCUCAUUAAAUUACUGCUGUCAAAAGAGUAUUUUACACAAGCAGUGGAAGUGAAAGCAUUCGCGGAGACCCACAUCAAGGGCUUCACACUGAACGAUGCUGCCAACAGCCUCCUCAUCAUAACGCAAGUUAGGCGGGAUUAUUUGAAAGAGGCUCUAACAACGCUGAAAACAGCAUUGGAUCAGCAGCAGACCCCUUCGGGGAUAGCAGUGACCCGCCUCAUCCAGGCAUUGGCCAUGAAGGGUGAUGUUGAAAACAUAGAAGUAGUUCAGAAGAUGGUAAAUGGACUCGAAGACUCCAUUGGACUUUCAAAAAUGGUUUUCAUCAAUAACACUGCUUUGGCACAAAUAAAGAACAAUAACAUAGAUGUCGCAAUAGAAAACAUUGAAAAUAUGCUUACUUCAGAGAAUCCAGUCAUUGAACGCCAAUACUUCGGCUUGGCAUACUUAUUCAGAAAAGUAAUAGAGGAGCAGUUGGAACCAGCAGUUGAAAAGAUAAGCAUCAUGGCAGAGAGAUUGGCCAAUCAGUUUGCAAUUUAUAAACCUGUCACUGAUUUUUUCCUUCAACUUGUGGACGCAGGCAAGGUGGACGAUGCCAGAGCUCUCCUACAGAGAUGUGGUGCAAUUGCUGAACAAACCUCGAUUUUGUUGGUGUUCUUCCUUAGGAAUUCUGGGAAACGAGGAAAGGCAUCAACUCUGAAAUCUCUGUUAGAAUUGAUUCCUGAAUUAAACGAAAAGGAAGAAGCAUAUAGUUCCCUCAUGAAAAGCUAUGAAAAAUGAAAAACUUUUUUGGUGUUGAGCUGAUGAUCUUGAUGUAGAUUUCUCCAUAAUUGACAUGUCCCUCUCCACAACAGUUCCUGGAUUAUCUUGAUUUCAAAGUGGUUUUAAGCCAAAGGGGAUUGAAUGCCUCAGAGAAAGAUGUCACAUCUGCUAAAGCACUGUAUGAACAUUUGACUGCAAAGAAUACAAAAUUGGAUGAUCUGUUUCUCAAGCGUUACGCAGUUUUGCUGAAGAAUGCUGGAGAGUCUGUCCCUUUCACUGAACCCCCUGAAAGCUUUGAAUUUUAUGUACAGCAGGUAAAAGAAUUGAGGGAAAAUUCUUCCUGAAAAAGCAGGCGAUACUUUGUUUUGUAUAUAUUUGUGAUUCUGUGUCUACAUGUUAUUUUGAAGUGUAUUUGAAGGGAAAAAUAAAUGAAAAUUUUCUUUAUGUGUGACACAUGUUCAAAAUCUUAUUGACCAUAACUGUGCGCUUGGUUAUUGGACAUUUUUGGAGGUUUUUUCCUCUGGCAUAAAUUGAUAGCAUUUUCCUCAGUGCUGCUGCUGUGGGAAGCCAUACUUUUUCAAGAUUCUUCCCCUAAUUGGCUCUUUGGUUUCCCUGCUCUGUUUAUUUCAUUAAAAUGUUAUUCCUUUAUUUAAGACUCACUUAUUAGUCUGCUGUUUCUCUGAAAAAUUUUAGAGCUAAGUAUAGUGAUCGUGAACUUUCUAUUGCAUAAUAUUCUGCAAUAUAACAAUUCCUUACGUGUGUGAAGUCCUGCAUAACUUUCAAAUUUCAUUAAAUGUUGGCACUAGGAGUCAUCAGAUCUAGCCUUCAUCAUUUUCCAGUGAGAAGCAGAGACCCAAAGGGCCUGUCACUUGUGCUUGUUCAGGGGGCUGUCUGUCAUGCCUGGAGGCUCUUCGGCAUACUUCCCCCUCUUUCCCUUCUGCCACCGUGGCUUCCAAGCACCUCUGUUCAUAGAACGUCUCUGAAAUUAAGUCUUGGUCAUGACUUAUCCCAAAGUAGAGCGAUGUGUUUCCUCUCAUUUUAGUUUCAGGACUUUGUCAGCACAAGCUCUGCCCUAGGCUUGUUACUUUAUACUCAUAUCCUGAAAAGAUGUGGCUUCAUCUAUGAAGGGGCAAAAUACUGGUUUGUGUUUAAUUUUUUGAAAUAAAAGUUAUCCCUGUAUUGA
RNA transcript from Cercocebus atys (sooty mangabey), 5830 nucleotides. It is a transcript of the gene named leucine-rich pentatricopeptide repeat containing, with no coding region annotated. Lineage: Eukaryota; Metazoa; Chordata; Mammalia; Primates; Cercopithecidae. The transcript has 39 exons. The record is from RefSeq and is a predicted model, not a curated record.